This 421-nucleotide ribosomal RNA is filed under the name Clavibacter sp. pfB26. RNAcentral describes it as "bacterial SSU rRNA". It matches the Rfam family "Bacterial small subunit ribosomal RNA", at positions 8 to 425 of the family's 1533-position model. The record is from RNAcentral. Lineage: Bacteria; Bacillati; Actinomycetota; Actinomycetes; Micrococcales; Microbacteriaceae.
AGAGUUUGAUUCCCUGGCUCAGGACGAACGCUGGCGGCGUGCUUAACACAUGCAAGUCGAACGGUGAUGUCAGAGCUUGCUCUGGCGGAUCAGUGGCGAACGGGUGAGUAACACGUGAGUAACCUGCCCCCGACUCUGGGAUAACUGCUAGAAAUGGUAGCUAAUACCGGAUAUGACGACUGGCCGCAUGGUCUGGUCGUGGAAAGAAUUUCGGUUGGGGAUGGACUCGCGGCCUAUCAGGUUGUUGGUGAGGUAAUGGCUCACCAAGCCUACGACGGGUAGCCGGCCUGAGAGGGUGACCGGCCACACUGGGACUGAGACACGGCCCAGACUCCUACGGGAGGCAGCAGUGGGGAAUAUUGCACAAUGGGCGCAAGCCUGAUGCAGCAACGCCGCGUGAGGGAUGACGGCCUUCGGGUUG